Regulatory RNA element from Folsomia candida, 45 nucleotides. It matches the Rfam family "Histone 3' UTR stem-loop". From Rfam's summary of the family: The mRNAs of metazoan histone genes lack a poly-A tail. 3' end processing occurs at a site between a highly conserved stem-loop (modelled by this family) and a purine rich region around 20 nts downstream (the histone downstream element, or HDE). The record is from Rfam. Lineage: Eukaryota; Metazoa; Arthropoda; Collembola; Entomobryomorpha; Isotomidae.
CCAACGGCCCUUUUAAGGGCCACUACUUUUUCCAAAGAGCUAUGG